GUAGGUGAACCUGCGGAGGGAUCAUUACAAGAACGCCCGGGCUUCGGCCUGGUUAUUCAUAACCCUUUGUUGUCCGACUCUGUUGCCUCCGGGGCGACCCUGCCUUCGGGCGGGGGCUCCGGGUGGACACUUCAAACUCUUGCGUAACUUUGCAGUCUGAGUAAACUUAAUUAAUAAAUUAAAACUUUUAACAACGGAUCUCUUGGUUCUG
RNAcentral lists this unclassified non-coding RNA (211 nucleotides) under rhizosphere metagenome. RNAcentral describes it as "partial ribosomal RNA internal transcribed spacer region". The record is from RNAcentral.